UUGGAUCCAAGUAGAUGCUAGUCGUACAGUCCACGCGGAGUGGGUACGACAGGCCAGUCGCGAGAGUGUUAGUGAGAUUCCGACUGGUGGGUGACCUUAGAUUAUGUGCACAGAUGAUUUAUGAGAAGCACUAGAGCGUAACUUGUGUGCAGAAGGCCGUACAGGUCACGCGGAGUGACUCCGGCAGAGUGUGAGAGUGAUAGAUUUUGAGCUCUAGGUUCAACCGGGCUAAUAGAGGGCCUCCGGUUGAUUAUCUUAUUGCACCUGAUAUGAUUUAUGUUGAUGCAUUCAUACCUUAUUACUGUUGAGAUGAUGUGGCAUGGCAUAAUUAAUAUGAGAAAUGUUGAGAUGAUGUGGCAUGGCAUAAUUAUGAUGAAAAUGUUGAGUUAAUGAAUUGAAGUAUUGAGAAUAUAUAUAUGUAUAUUUAUAUUUUAUAUUUCUGGGAAAGUAUACAGGUUUUACGGAGAGGGGUUACAACGUUUUGAGAAAUGUUUGGAUUUGGAAAAGAAUUGUUUUACUGACCCACUCAAUUUUGGUUUUGCGCCCCUCCAGGUUCAGGAAUCAUAAAGGUGUGGUGACUACGAGGAAAUUGACGGUGUUCUGACAGAUUGGACAAAAUUAGGACUCACCUUCGGGUGUAUCAACUUAUAAAUUGUAUCUUAAAGCUUCCGUACUGUGCAAAUGGUUACGUCACUCUCACGUGACGGCCAGCAUGCCCUCCUUCGGGACGGGGUGUGUCAGUUGGUAUCAGAGCAUGGUUGCAAUCUUGGACAUCUUGAGAAGUUCUAGUGAAUUCUGUCAGAACUACACCGCCUCGUAGUAAGCCACUUAGUUAGAGGAAUUUAGUCUCCCUAAUAUAGCGGUUUAGGGGAAACUAUUAUUAUGGUGAUUCAGUCUAUUAUAAAAAGGGACAUUUUAAGACGGGUUAUGAGUCGAAUUUGAAUCACCUUAUGGAAUGAUGAACCUGAGGGAGCGAAGUAACGGUUUAACCAUUUGGAAAAGAUGUUUCAGAUUAUGCAAGUUAAAGGAAAUUUCCUUCUGACAAGGGGUCGAGACGACUACCUGGUUUUGGGUAUGAAUUUGUAUCCUGGUGGAAACAGGAGUAUGAUUUGUUGUCACCGGAGGAACAGUCGAUUGAGAAUUGUUUAAGGACUUGUUUAAGGAAAAGUUUAUCCCUCCGGCAUUUAUCGAUGGUAGUAAGCAAGAGUUUGCAAAUGUGAAUCAAGGAAGUUGACGAUAAAUGAAUAUUAUAGAAAGUUUUCAGACUUGCCUCGUUCCAUCCAGAUAUUUGAGACAAGGUGUCUCGAGUAAAGGAAAUGUACCUUGUGCAGCAGGUACAAAAUUAACACUUUGAGAAAUGUGAAAUUAAUGAAUGUGUUUAUGUGGAUAGAGGGGACGCAGAAUUGUGAAUUGUCCCUAGAAUCAGUUGUACUCAACAAUUUUCCAUGAUAUCAUAGUGUCGAUUCAGCAGAGUUAUGGACUUAGUAGUUUGGUCGGAUUGACCGUGAGUACAGAGAGAUUUGAUGAGUUAUAUGUUCAGCCGUACAGACCAUGAGAAAUGGAUUCGACUGACACAUGAGAAAUUGGUGAGUUAUAGGUUCGGCCGUACCGACCACGCGGAGUGGAUCCGGCCGACGUAUUAUUGAGAUAAGAGUUGAAUCAGCCGUAUUGAUCAUUCUAGUUGACUUCGGCUGAUAUAUUUCUUAUUAUGUAUGUUAUAUCUUUGAGAGUGGUUGCCUACUUAUCGAGACAACGAUGAUUUAUUAGUAUUGCGGGCUGCAGACCGUAAUAUUAAUACUCAUUCGUGGAUUCGUUAAGCAAGCAACCCGGUAGAUUAUUUUAUGUUAGUAUUGUACUUAUUCAGAAUGUUCAGUAAUAAUAAAGUAUGUAUUGGGUCAGUUAAUUUUAUUCCAUUAGAUUGAUUGUUUAUAGUUGUGACUAGAUGGAAUGUUACGAGAAACCAGUUACUUUCCAUCGAGUUGAUUAAUUAGAGGUUACUUUGGUGGGGCAUACAAAGUGAAAUGAGUUCAGCCAUUAUUUAUGCUGUGAAAGCAAAGAUAUUGUUUUGAAAGGCUGCCCAAACAUACUUAGUUCAUGUGGUGCUAAAUGAUGUUGUUUGGAGUAGUGUGAAUAAUGUCGAAAGGGUUAGACUUUUCUUGAUGUCUUCCCUGAAAGUAUACCUGGAUUGCCUUCAGGCAGAGAUAUGAGAUUCACUAUUGAUUUGUUGCCAGGUAUAAAUUUAUGUUAAAGAUUGGUUCAUGAUGAGUUAAGGGAAUUGGAAAUUCAGUUGAAAGAAUUGGUUGAUAAAAGUUUUAUUCAACCUAGUACAACGCUUUGGGGGAGCCCCAGUUCGUUGGUGAGGAAGAAAAUGGAUUUUAAGACUGUUCAUUGAUUAUAGACAAUGGAGUCGGGUAACGAUUAAGAACCGUUAUCCAUGGUGAUGUACUGAUGUUUAUUUAACCAGCUCAGAAGUAAUUGCGAAGAUUCAAAGAUUGAAUUGAGAUCUGGUUACUACCAAUUGAAUAUUAUAAGUGACGUUGAUCAUAAGAUGGUUUUCUGGACUUGUUAUGGUCCUUAUGAAGUUUGGUGAUGCUAUGUGGAUACUCAUGCUGUUUUAUGAGUUGAUGGAUGAAGUAUUCCAAUAAUGCCUUGAUAAAUUGAUAUCAUUCUUAUUGAAGAUAUUCUGGCAUAUUCUGAGCCAGAGCAGAGCAUGUAAACGUAUUAAGUCGGUGAAGCAAAGAUUGAGAGAACGUUGGUUGUAUGCUAAGUAGCAAAUGCUAAAGUUAGAUGAAUCAGGUGGCAUUCUGAGAUUUGUUAUAUAUUCUUAAGGUAUUUAAGUGAAUCCUUAAAAGAUAGCAGAAAUUGAGAAUUUGGAACAACCACGAGUCGUAAUUGAGAUUUGGAAUUUCUUAACUUACCAGGCUAUCUUGGAUGGUUGUGAAAGAGUUUUAGUCAUUGCUUUGUCAUUGACGAGACUGUUGAGAAAGGAGGUUAUGUAUGAGUAGGAAGGAAAUUGUGAGUAAAGGAUUCAACAACUGAAGUAUUUCCUCACUCAUGCACGUAUUUUAGUAAUCCCAGAGAAUAGUGGUAAUCAUAAAUUUUUAGUGAUGUUUCUUGAAUGGUAUUGGAGGCAUGUUGAUGCAAAUGUUAGGGUGAUUGCAUACAUUUCACGAUAAUGGAACCUCAUGAGAUGAAUUACCCUACGGGUGACUUAGAAGUCAUGAUUACCAUUCUUGCUGUGAAGUUAUGAAGGCAUUAUAUUUGGUAAGAAUGCAAGAUUUUACGAAUCCAAAAGUCUUCAAUAUUCAUUACUUGGAAAGAUUUUGAUAUAAGGCAGCGAAAGUGAAUUGUAUUGUUAAAUGAAUAUGAUUGUACGAUCAGGGUGAUCGUGAAUUGUUGUAGCUGAUACACUUGGUGAAAAGAUUGCAGUAAGAUUAAUGUCAGGCACGCUUGCCAAGAUUAUCUUCUCGUGGAUUGAAAAUCAAUUAAAGUAAAGUUAAGAAUGAAAGAUCGAGAAGAAGUUAUACUUGUUAAUUUUCAAGUUAGGCCUGUUUGGUAAGGUCGUACUCGAAAUAUAAAUGUUUGACGAGGAAAUUUAAGAAUUAACCAAGGCAGAGAAAGAAGGGAAAAAGAAUGAGUACAUGAUUCGUGAAUCAAAUGGUAUGUGGAUACAAGAAAACAAAAAGUAUGUGCCUAAUGUUGAGGAUUUGAAGCAAGCAAAUAUUGGACGAAGUUCACUGUUCAACUUCUGCAAUAUUCCAAAAGUAAUAAGAUUUAUCAUACCAUUCGACAGUUUUAUUUGGUCAGCAGAUUGAGGCAGAAAAAGAUAAACCUUUGGAUUGAGAUAACUAUUUUCUGUUUCGCAGUGGAAAUGGAAAGAUAUUACUUUGGAUUAUGUGUACAAGUUUCCUUGUACAUAGGAUGGUUAUGAUUGAAUUUGAAGCGAUAGUUGGUCAAUGUACCAAGUUAGUACAUUUACUCCAGGGUUGAGUAACGGUACUUAUUUGUUUUAUAGAAAGAAGAAUUGGUUUACGGAACUGCUAAGUUUCUUAAGUAUGUUGGUUGCGCAGUUUCCGAAGUGAAGCCAUAAGGUUCAUGAAGUGUGUCAUGUGUGUAUUUUGUUGACUUGUGAAUGGAAUAUUUCUGGGUAGAGAAAGAUUCGAUCAAGAAAGAGUUUUUGUAAACCCUGAGACUAUGGAUGAGUCUCCUCAAAGUAUUCAGGUGAUUAAGUUAACCUGAAGAAACCAGGAAUGGCAAAAGAGAUCAACAGAUGAAUAUACCACUAAUCGAGUGUAUAACGUAGAUGAUUUUAUAUUUUUGGAAAUUUCACCAUGAAAAGAAAUAGCAAGAUUUGGAAAGGAAGACAAGAUAAGUCUUAGACACAUCAGAUCGAUUUGAUCACUAAAGGAAUCGAUGAAGUUGCAUACAAGUGGUGAUGUCUUCAGAGUUGGCUAAGGUACUUAAUGUAUUUUGGGUUCGAUACGUUGUCACUAGGUGACAAAUUCGUCACAUGAGAUCCUGAUGCAACUAUUGAGAGUUAAAUUGCAUUCGACUUGAUAAGGAACCAAGGAUGACUUUGGAUUGGAAAAAGAAGGUCCUGAGAAUUAAGACAGAGUAAGUGGUAAAAGCUUUGUGAAGGAAAUCAUUCAGUGGAAAAUUAUGUGGGAGGAAAAGAAUCGGAUGAGAGAUUUUUAACCGAAGCUAUUGUUGGAGUAUGGUUGAUUUAGUUGGUUGCUGGAAUUUCGGGGACGAAAUUCUAUAAGGAGGGAAGAUUGUCACAGCCCGUCCCGGAAUUUUAAUUCCGAGGACGUGAAAAGACCAAAAUGCCCUUAAGCGGGACUAAGGGGCGAAAAUUUAACAAUUAGAUUUAUAUUUGUAUGUGUUAAAUUGUGUUUGGACUUAGGUAGGGCCUCCUACCCUCAAAACAUUCCCUAAAACCCGUAACCUUUCCUUCUCUCUCUUUUUCUUCUUUCAUCUCAGAAAACUCUCUCUCUCUCUCUUACUCUCGAACUCACGGCAACCACCAAGAACCACCACAAUCUUGUACGAACGUUCCAUUUAAGACCACCAUCGUGAUCCUGAGGACUUCACGAGCUCGGGGAUACCAAACUCAGGUGAGUUUCACUUCGGAAAACCCUAGUUUCAGUGUCACCGUAAUAUUGCACUGUUCACGAACUUCAAAUUGGCUUUGUUUUAGGCCAAACCAAGCUCACAGUGAGCUUAAGGAAGUCCCAAGGAAGCUCGGAGUGCUUCGUUGGAAGUUUUUGGACGUAAGAACACGGAGAUCGACAAGUUCAAAGUUUGGCCGGAGCUUUCGAGGCUCUUUCCGGCGAAUCCCCGGCGAGUUAGGAGUUGAGGUAGGUAUCAAUCUCUUCGUCUCGUCAAGUACUACAACUUUCCUUUUUGUUUCACUCAAUUUCGUUGAGUAUUGAAGAAGUUAUACUCAUUUGAAAAAUACCCAGUUUCCGGCGACCUCCGAGGCUUUCGAGGCAGUUUCCGGCCAAACCACGGCGAACUAGGUGUUGUGAAAGGUACCAUUCUCUUUGUCUCUUCAAGGGCUACAACUUUCGUUUUUGAAUCACUUGAUUUCGUUGAGAAAUGACAAAGUUAUGGCAAUUUGAAAAACUGCCCAGUAAACGGCCGCCGGAAAAACCAGUCUGGCGACCCAAGGAAGAAGAUGAUGCGCGUGGGGGCGCGUGGGCCGUGCUUGUCUUGGCGCGUGGGGCGCGUGCUAAAGUAAAAAAUUAUUUUAAAAAUAUGUCGACGUCCGUGACGUCGAGUAGAUCACUGUGGUAUAUUCAUAUACCCAAUUUGAGCAAUAUAUGAGGAGUUAUUAGCUAAGAGUGGGAUUAUGCGUUAAAUAACGUCAAUUUGGUUACUUCUCGUAUAGGCGAGGAUUAUACGGACGUUGGGCAUGGCUAAGGGAGGCUCAGGGACCUUCGACACGUCGAUGUAAUCUGUGAGUGGGCAGUUUUGUAUUCCGUAUAUAUAUAUACUUGACGUUUCCCAGAAAUUGAAUUGAAAUGAAAAUAUGUUUAAAAUGAAAUGCAUAUGAGUUAUGUGGAAAAACGGGAAGUGAAAUACCAUGCAUAGAAUUGAUAUGAAAAGUAUAUAGAAAUGUGAGUUGAAAUGCCAUGCAUGAAUUAAUAUAUGAUGCAUAUGUAUGAAUUGGUGCGGUGGACGCACAGGUAAGAAUUGAUUUAUGAUGCAUAUAUAUGAAUUGGUGCGGUGGACGCACAGGUAAGAAUUGAUUUAUGAUGCAUAUGUAUGAAAUGGUGCGGUGGACGCACAGGUGAGUAUUUAUUUCUGUUAUGAUGAUGUUGAUGUAUAUUGAGCUCAAAUCCUGCACCAUAGUUUAGUGCUUAUAGUAUUCACCGCAUCGCACGCUCGUCUUGGAUCCAAGUAGAUGCUAGUCGUACAGUCCACGCGGAGUGGGUACGACAGGCCAGUCGCGAGAGUGUUAGUGAGAUUCCGACUGGUGGGUGACCUUAGAUUAUGUGCACAGAUGAUUUAUGAGAAGCACUAGAGCGUAACUUGUGUGCAGAAGGCCGUACAGGUCACGCGGAGUGACUCCGGCAGAGUGUGAGAGUGAUAGAUUUUGAGCUCUAGGUUCAACCGGGCUAAUAGAGGGCCUCCGGUUGAUUAUCUUAUUGCACCUGAUAUGAUUUAUGUUGAUGCAUUCAUACCUUAUUACUGUUGAGAUGAUGUGGCAUGGCAUAAUUUAUAUGAGAAAUGUUGAGAUGAUGUGGCAUGGCAUAAUUAUGAUGAAAAUGUUGAGUUAAUGAAUUGAAGUAUUGAGAAUAUAUAUAUGUAUAUUUAUAUUUUAUAUUUCUGGGAAAGUAUACAGGUUUUACGGAGAGGGGUUACAACGUUUUGAGAAAUGUUUGGAUUUGGAAAAGAAUUGUUUUACUGACCCACUCAAUUUUGGUUUUGCGCCCCUCCAGGUUCAGGAAUCAUAAAGGUGUGGUGACUACGAGGAAAUUGACGGUGUUCUGACAGAUUGGACAAAAUUAGGACUCACC
This 7022-nucleotide long non-coding RNA is filed under the name Malus domestica (apple). RNAcentral's name for it is "long non-coding RNA (MDOM_LNC007533)". The record is from RNAcentral. Lineage: Eukaryota; Viridiplantae; Streptophyta; Magnoliopsida; Rosales; Rosaceae.